Molecule: long non-coding RNA, 867 nt
Organism: Humulus lupulus (European hop)
Lineage: Eukaryota; Viridiplantae; Streptophyta; Magnoliopsida; Rosales; Cannabaceae
Exons: 4
Source: RefSeq, a predicted model, not a curated record
ACCCUAGAGAGCAUUUUUGCUCAUCUCUUCUCUAUACCACAGCCAUCCAUCUAGAGAGGGUAGAGAGAGAGGGAGGUGAGUUAGAGAGAGAGAAAGGAAGGCUGCCAUAUUUUUCUAGAGAAGAAGAAGAAAGGAAGAAGAAGAAAAGAAAGAGAAGGAGAAGAGGGUUUCGAACCCUAGGUGACAAGGUUUUCUUGCUAGAGUGUUCUUGAUUCAACAAUCAAGAGAGGCUCGUUGAGAGGUUGUGAAUUUACUUAGCUCGGACCUGAGGUAGCAAAUAGGAUUUCUCUGUGGCACGCGGGGUGACAUGAGGAGUUCUAUCGUCGUAGGGUGUAUGGCGUGGGGUAUCCUAUGGACGGAAUAAACGAUCACUUUAGGACACCAUUUUAAUUAUGUUAUGUUUUAAGAGACUUUCUAAAUUAUCAGUGGGACUUAAUUAUUUAAUAUUGUUUCUUUUGAACUUUGCAUAAAAACGCAUAUUUUCUUUUUAAACUAAUGGGCCCAACUUGCAUUGUUUUAAGCAAAUCCCCACUGAGACCUUUAUAAAAAAUGGUUUUCUUUAUGGACCAACGAUAUGUGAAUGUUUUAAUAAGUACUAGUUUAGGGCGUUCUUUACAAAUAAAAAAUGCUCAUUUUGACCUAAGAUUUUACAAAGACCUAAAAGGCAUACCAAAAAUAGAAUUGGGAAAUUUUGGUAACAAUUGGAUAAGUAAAUUUCAAGUUAUGACCUAACAAAGUAUGUAGUUAAAAAAUGUGAAAAAAAUAGGGUUUUCACACAUAGUGUAAAAAUAAGAUUUUGGAACUUAAGGUAAAAAGUAAAAAAUUUCUUAUUGCAAGAUAAAACUUGGUAAGUCUUGAAAACAUAUG